This 150-nucleotide ribosomal RNA is filed under the name Salmonella enterica. Its description in RNAcentral is "partial 23S ribosomal RNA". It matches the Rfam family "Bacterial large subunit ribosomal RNA", at positions 1 to 140 of the family's 2925-position model. The record is from RNAcentral. Lineage: Bacteria; Pseudomonadati; Pseudomonadota; Gammaproteobacteria; Enterobacterales; Enterobacteriaceae. RNAcentral also lists the same sequence under 3 other names.
GGGUUGUGAGGUUAAGCGACUAAGCGUACACGGUGGAUGCCCUGGCAGUCAGAGGCGAUGAAGGGCGUGCUAAUCUGCGAUAAGCGCCGGUAAGGUGAUAUGAACCGUUAUAACCGGCGAUACCCGAAUGGGGAAACCCAGUGUGACUCG